CCUUAUCCUGCUUAUUACUUACAGGUUUCUAAGAUCAAUUAGUUACACUAGCAUGGGAAAGAAAAAAAAUCCCUGUGCUUUCUGUGUCUUUGCGGUGGCCUAGAUUGAAUAGUGGAAAAUGUCU
RNAcentral lists this small nucleolar RNA (124 nucleotides) under Canis lupus dingo (dingo). Its description in RNAcentral is "Small nucleolar RNA SNORA31 (ENSCAFG00020019569.1)". Lineage: Eukaryota; Metazoa; Chordata; Mammalia; Carnivora; Canidae. The record is from RNAcentral.